This is a long non-coding RNA of Pieris rapae (cabbage white), 1415 nucleotides long. RefSeq lists it as uncharacterized. The transcript has 2 exons. NCBI's taxonomy places the organism in Eukaryota, Metazoa, Arthropoda, Insecta, Lepidoptera, Pieridae. The record is from RefSeq and is a predicted model, not a curated record.
AAACCUUUAGGCAUCUUUUCCAUUACACGGUUGUUCAAACGUACGGUGUGUAAGCCGUACGGUUGAAAAAACGUGCUAGCUUGUACAUGAUACGGCAAAAUCACCGCGCGAGACAUUGGUAAGUACUGGCUAGUAGCGCUUUUUACUCGGGCUGUGUAGGACGUGCUGCGUCAUGAAUUUUCUUACGAAAAAAAAGAUUAUAGUUGCUUAUUACAUAUAUAGGAAAAAGAAAAUAGAAAAAAAAGGGAAGUAAGGUUUUGGAUACAUCCGAUUUUAGAAAAAAGGGAGGAAUAUGGCGCGUUUCAUACACUUGUCAAGAAUCAAUUGAGAGAAGAUGAAGACAAGUUUUACAAUUAUUUUAGAAUGCAGAAAACUACAUUCGACAACUUGCUCCAAAAAUUAUCCCAGGAACUAAAACAUCAAGAUACUUUUAUGCGAGAGAGUAUACCGCCCGCAGAAAGAUUGGCUGUAACUCUGAGGUAUCUAGCAACAGGAGAUACCUUUACUGACCUAUACUACAGCUAUAGAAUUGGAAUAAAAACCAUAAGUUGCAUCGUACGUGAAGUAUGCCACUACAUUUGGUUAGAACUGUAUAAAGAAUAUAUGAAAAUGCCAUCUAAAGAAGACUGGCUACACAUUGCAAGCAAAUUUCAAGAAUCUUCCAACUUCCCGCUGUGCUUAGGAGCGGUCGAUGGAAAACACAUCAGACUUAUUAAGCCAAUUGAUAGUGGCUCGAGUUUUUAAAUUACAAACAUUUUUUUUCUAUAGUUUUGAUGGCAGUAGUAGAUAGCGAUUACAACUUUAUAUUUGUUGACGUUGGCGCCUACGGAAAGGAGUGUGAUUCCAGUGUGUUUAAAGAGACCCCAUUUUGGAAAAAUUUAACAAACAACGGAUUAAAUCUACCCGAUGCAACACGUUUGCCUGGAAUUGACUACGAUUUGCCAUAUGUGUUCGUUGCGGACGAAGCCUUUGCUUUGCAUUAUCACUUGCUUCGUCCAUUUGGUGGUCAUCAGCUUGAUCAAUUAAAACGUACAUUUAACUACAGACUCACAAGAGCGCGAAGAUUUGUUGAAUGUGCGUUUGGCAUUUUAUCCAAUAAAUGGCGAAUUUUUCACCGGCCAAUGAAUGUGUCCAUCGAUUUGGCAGUUGUUAUUGUGAAAACAUGUUGUGUUUUGCAAAAUUUUAUACAUAAGCAGGAAAACUUUCAGUUUCACAAUGCGAGUGAAAAUGAGUCCACCCUUGAUUCAGAAUCGGAACUAAUCCAGUUACCUAUCACGAAUGCAGUUCGCGGAAGUUUGGCGGCUAAUGAAGUUCGCAACAGAUUUGCACAAUAUUUUGUAUCUAACGAAGGUCGCCUCUCCUAUCAAAACAACUAUGCAUAAGUAAAAAGUUAAUAAUUAAAUAUCUGUAACUUA